GAUGAUUGGUUAAAAAUACUUAAACGUUAUAUUUAUAUAAAGGAAUUGUUUUGUGUCAGUAAAGGGUGAAAUCAAUUUUUUGUUGAAUAAAUAAUUUUGUCUAGUAUAACAAAGUUGAGGUUGUUAAGGUCAAGGUAUGAACCAGGAUUAGAGACCCUGUUACACUUGAUUUUAAAUUCAAAUACCUGGGUAGUAAACAGUUAUGAUCUUGAAACUUAAAGGAUUUGGCGGUAAUUUAGUCUAGUUAGAGGAACCUGUCCUGUAAUCGAUAGUCCACGGAAAAUCUUACUUUAUCUUGAACAAUUCAGCUUAUAUACCGUCAUUGUUAGGUAACUUAAAAAAAAGUAGAAGUUGCUGUAAUAGUUUUUAAUUAGUAUAUUAGAUCAAGGUGUAGCCUAUGGUAAAGUAGAGAUGGGUUACAAUAAAAUUAGUUUAAUAAAACGGAUCUAGGAUGGAAAAGUGUUAGUGAAGGAGGAUUUAAAUGUAAAGAUAUUUUAACAUGGUAUCUUGAUUAUAGCUCUAGAUUAUGUACACAUCGCCCGUCGCUCU
Molecule: ribosomal RNA, 549 nt
Filed under: Trachysalambria nansei
Lineage: Eukaryota; Metazoa; Arthropoda; Malacostraca; Decapoda; Penaeidae
Description: partial 12S ribosomal RNA
Rfam family: Microsporidia small subunit ribosomal RNA (bases 188-549)
Source: RNAcentral